RNAcentral lists this ribosomal RNA (251 nucleotides) under uncultured Aspergillus. RNAcentral describes it as "partial large subunit ribosomal RNA". It matches the Rfam family "Eukaryotic large subunit ribosomal RNA", at positions 37 to 282 of the family's 3401-position model. The record is from RNAcentral. Lineage: Eukaryota; Fungi; Ascomycota; Eurotiomycetes; Eurotiales; Aspergillaceae.
UGCAUAUCAAUAAGCGCGGAGGAAAAGAAACCAACCGGGAUUGCCUCAGUAACGGCGAGUGAAGCGGCAAGAGCUCAAAUUUGAAAUCUGGCCCCGUCGGGGUCCGAGUUGUAAUUUGCAGAGGAUGCUUCGGGUGCGGCCCCUGUCUAAGUGCCCUGGAACGGGCCGUCAGAGAGGGUGAGAAUCCCGUCUGGGAUGGGGUGUCCGCGCCCGUGUGAAGCUCCUUCGACGAGUCGAGUUGUUUGGGAAUA